AACGAACGCUGGCGGCAUGCCUAACACAUGCAAGUCGAACGAGACCUUCGGGUCUAGUGGCGCACGGGUGCGUAACGCGUGGGAAUCUGCCCUUGGGUUCGGAAUAACUCGCCGAAAGGCGUGCUAAUACCGGAUGAUGUCGUAAGACCAAAGAUUUAUCGCCCAGGGAUGAGCCCGCGUAAGAUUAGGUAGUUGGUGAGGUAAAGGCUCACCUAGGCGACGAUCAGUAGCCGGACUGAGAGGUUGACCGGCCACAUUGGGACUGAGACACGGCCCAG
This 278-nucleotide ribosomal RNA is filed under the name uncultured bacterium. RNAcentral describes it as "partial 16S ribosomal RNA". It matches the Rfam family "Bacterial small subunit ribosomal RNA", at positions 29 to 334 of the family's 1533-position model. The record is from RNAcentral.